CGUAUAAUCAGCGGUCUGCCCUAGACCGUAGGCGCCGGCGCGAGCCGGCUUAAUUUCCUACCGAGGCACUUGUAAAUGAAGGACAUGUAGAUCCUUCCUGCCUUGAUGUGUCGGGCGGGGAGGAUUUUUUAUUGCCCAA
Chloroflexi bacterium 13_1_40CM_66_19 is the source of this 139-nucleotide non-coding RNA. NCBI's taxonomy places the organism in Bacteria, Bacillati, Chloroflexota. The record is from Rfam.